This 460-nucleotide ribosomal RNA is filed under the name uncultured bacterium. RNAcentral describes it as "partial 16S ribosomal RNA". It matches the Rfam family "Bacterial small subunit ribosomal RNA", at positions 338 to 795 of the family's 1533-position model. The record is from RNAcentral.
CCUACGGGAGGCUGCAGUGAGGAAUAUUGGUCAAUGGCCGUAAGGCUGAACCAGCCAAGUAGCGUGAGGGAAGACUGCCCUAUGGGUUGUAAACCUCUUUUAUGCGGGGAUAAAGGUGUCCACGUGUGGAUGUUUGCAGGUACCGCAUGAAUAAGGACAGGCUAAUUCCGUGCCAGCAGCCGCGGUAAUACGGAGGGUCCGGGCGUUAUCCGGAUUGACUGGGUUUAAAGGGAGCGUAGGCCGGUCUUUAAGCGUGCCGUGAAGUUUUGUGGCUCAACCAUGGGAGUGCGGUGCGAACUGGCGACCUUGAGUGCGCGGAAGGCAGGCGGAAUUCGUGGUGUAGCAGUGAAAUGCUUAGAUAUCACGAAGAACCCCGGUUGCGAAGGCAGCCUGCCGCAGCGUUACUGACGCUGAAGCUCGAAAGCGCGGGUAUCGAACAGGAUUAGAUACCCGAGUAGUC